This 117-nucleotide ribosomal RNA is filed under the name Streptomyces mutabilis. Lineage: Bacteria; Bacillati; Actinomycetota; Actinomycetes; Kitasatosporales; Streptomycetaceae. The record is from RNAcentral.
AACGUGCGCCUGUACUCGGUGGACGCCCACGGCCGGCGCGGUGUGGUCUUCCGGUCGAUGGACGCCUCACGGCUGGUACCGGUGGUGAUGGGCCGCUUCGUGUUCCGGCUGCCCUAC